This is a long non-coding RNA of Callithrix jacchus (white-tufted-ear marmoset), 853 nucleotides long. The record is from Ensembl. Lineage: Eukaryota; Metazoa; Chordata; Mammalia; Primates; Cebidae.
AUGUGCAGUGCCAGAAGCCAGGGCACCAGCGGCGCAGGAAAUGUACUGCAGGAGAAAGAACACGAGGACACCUCCACCAGAGAGGACUCUAGAAACCUGAACCCGCCCCCCUUCAGCUCCCCACUCCCUGGCAAAGGGCUCCAGCUGCUCUGGAUGAUGAGGAAGCCGGGCACCUCUGACAAGCAAGCUGCUGUAGGCACCACCUCAGAACUUCAGGUGUGGGCCACGAUUUUCUGCAUGGCCCCAGCAACUCCUGGAAUCCAUAACCUGACCAGGAACGUCAGAGGUCUUGCAUGCAGGCUGGAGUGCGGUGACACGGUCACAGCUCACUGCAACCUUGACCUACUGGAUUCAAGGGCCUUCCCACCUCAGCUUCUCAAGUAAUUGGGACCACAGCUGUUGGCUGGACACAGUGGCUUACAUCUGUAAUUCCGGAAUUGGGGAGGCUAAGGUGGGUGAAGUGCUUGAACCCAGAAGUUUGAGACCAGCCUAGGCGACAUGGCAAAACCGAGUCUCUACAUCUCGACACAAACAAACAAACCUGAAAUUAGCCGGUCAUCUGCAGUCCCAGCUAUGUACUCAGGAAACUAAGGCCAGCGGAUCUGUUGAGUCCUGGAGAUCGAGGCUGCAGUGAGCCACGAUCAUACCACUGCACUCCAGCCUGGGCAACAGAAAGAGACCCUGUCUCAAAAAAUAAUAAAGUACAUAAAUAAAUAAAUAAACUGUUGAUUGGGAGCCGUGUAUGCACCAGGCCCUAAGCGGGGCAUGAUGAGAUGGGAUGAAGAGUCUGGAGACUUGGGAAAGGCUGCACCUCUGGAGGGAGGCCGCAGCUUCUCCUUCAUCAAAGAGGUCC